UAGGGAAUAUUGGUCAAUGGGUGAGAGCCUGAACCAGCCAUGCCGCGUGCAGGAAGAAGGCCUUCUGGGUUGUAAACUGCUUUUGCCAGGGGAUAAAAAGACCAUGCGUGGUUUAUUGAAGGUACCUGGUGAAUAAGCACCGGCUAACUACGUGCCAGCAGCCGCGGUAAUACGUAGGGUGCAAGCGUUGUCCGGAUUUAUUGGGUUUAAAGGGUGCGUAGGCGGCCCUGUAAGUCAGUGGUGAAAUACUCUAGCUUAACUAGAGGGGUGCCAAUGAUACUGCAGGGCUUGAGUACAGAUGAGGUAGGCGGAAUUGACGGUGUAGCGGUGAAAUGCAUAGAUAUCGUCAAGAACACCGAUAGCGAAGGCAGCUUACUGGGCUGUAACUGACGCUGAUGCACGAAAGUGUGGGGAUCAAACAG
RNAcentral lists this ribosomal RNA (422 nucleotides) under uncultured bacterium. RNAcentral's name for it is "bacterial SSU rRNA". It matches the Rfam family "Bacterial small subunit ribosomal RNA", at positions 355 to 775 of the family's 1533-position model. The record is from RNAcentral.